RNAcentral lists this ribosomal RNA (506 nucleotides) under Staphylococcus aureus. RNAcentral describes it as "partial 23S ribosomal RNA". It matches the Rfam family "Bacterial large subunit ribosomal RNA", at positions 202 to 707 of the family's 2925-position model. Lineage: Bacteria; Bacillati; Bacillota; Bacilli; Caryophanales; Staphylococcaceae. The record is from RNAcentral.
CUUAGUACCCGGAGGAAGAGAAAGAAAAUUCGAUUCCCUUAGUAGCGGCGAGCGAAACGGGAAGAGCCCAAACCAACAAGCUUGCUUGUUGGGGUUGUAGGACACUCUAUACGGAGUUACAAAGGACGACAUUAGACGAAUCAUCUGGAAAGAUGAAUCAAAGAAGGUAAUAAUCCUGUAGUCGAAAAUGUUGUCUCUCUUGAGUGGAUCCUGAGUACGACGGAGCACGUGAAAUUCCGUCGGAAUCUGGGAGGACCAUCUCCUAAGGCUAAAUACUCUCUAGUGACCGAUAGUGAACCAGUACCGUGAGGGAAAGGUGAAAAGCACCCCGGAAGGGGAGUGAAAUAGAACCUGAAACCGUGUGCUUACAAGUAGUCAGAGCCCGUUAAUGGGUGAUGGCGUGCCUUUUGUAGAAUGAACCGGCGAGUUACGAUUUGAUGCAAGGUUAAGCAGUAAAUGUGGAGCCGUAGCGAAAGCGAGUCUGAAUAGGGCGUUUAGUAUUUGGU